Anas platyrhynchos (mallard) is the source of this 3329-nucleotide long non-coding RNA. RefSeq lists it as uncharacterized. Lineage: Eukaryota; Metazoa; Chordata; Aves; Anseriformes; Anatidae. The record is from RefSeq and is a predicted model, not a curated record.
UUGAAGGUGUUAUGUACAAGUACAGGCUAGUCAGGAAUAGCUGGAUUGUUUCCACAUCUGGCCUAAUCAUUUGAAUAACCCUGCCGAGUGAAAGCGAACCAACUCCUCCCUGCCUGCAAAUCCCCUCCGAGGACAGAGCAGCCGCACUGCCACCGCGUGUUCCAUUUGAGGAAUAGGCAUCCCAGCGCCGCCGCCUUGCUGCCAUUCCUCUCCGGGGUAAAACUUGCAAAGCAGAUUUAUAGAGUACCGAGGAAAGAGUUAACUUCACCCUUAGACAUCUGAGAUAACUCCGAACAUGCUGUGCCAGCAACCGUUGGAAUUUACACCCCUUUGUCAACUCUAGACAAUAACUCCAGAUGGGAUCUGGGAGCUUUGUAAAGCACUUCCUGAAAAUCUGAAGAAAUCCGGCCAAAUGUAUCCCUGAUGUGAAGCCACUGGUAAUAAUGGAGAUACAGCAAGAAUAAACAUUGAUUUGGUGCCCACUAAAUCUGUUUCAUUUCAUUUUGGCAGAAUGUUUAUGAAAAUUUUUAAAACAAAUCAGUCAGUCUCUCCAUAAUCUGAAUCCAGCAUGGCCAUUCUUAGUCAAGCUGUGCUUUUUUGACAUUCGCUAAACUUAAUUUAUCCCUAGAAAUGUUGCUGAUGAUAACUUAUCAUAAUGAUAAUGAUGAUAAUGUUGAUGAUAACUGUUGCUACAAUAAGGUCAUACCUCAAUGGACAUUUUAAACUGGACUAUUUGUUCAGCUGAAGAACAAGUGAAGCAGACAAAGAUAUUUUCUGCCUGGAUUUGAGCUGGAAGAAGGGACUGCAUGAAGUUAAGCAGUGUCUGCCGGAUCUUGGGUAUGCAAUGGCCAGUAAUUUAACUGGAGAGGUCACUGGGGGCAUCUUGUGUUACUGACAUGUCUCAUGACAGCCUCUCUAAAACCCCUGCUGAAAGUUUUCCUGACUAGACGUGGAAUCAGCCACAGCCAGGGAUUGGAAUGUCUUCCCGAGUUCUGUUUUUUAACAUGGAAAAGACACCAAAGGCUCCCAGUUGUUAAAUCAAUGUUUUGUAAUUAAAAUAAAAUAAUAAAUCAGGGCAUGACAAUUAUUUAAGCUAGUUUUCUAGUUAAAUAGUUAAAACAGAUUAUAUAUAUAUAUAAAUAUAUAUAAUAUAUAUAUAUAUAUUUAUUUAUUUCCGCCCCCUCCCCCCCUGGUUAGUUUUCUGUGAGAUUGGCAGCUGAAGGAGCAAGAUCAAAUCUUCUGGCAGGCAAGUAAUGUGAAAUGGCCCCCUGAGUUUUGGCUGUGGCUUUGUUCUCUCUUGCAGGCUGCCCCUCACUUAGUUUCUCAGUCCCUGUUGCUACUUCAUGCUGUUUCUCAGUGCAUACUGUCCUAUUUGCCCGUGUGCUCCAGAUGGUUCCCUCAAGCUCAGCAUUUUAUCUUGCUUUUGAGGAAAAAGGCAACUCUUCCUUUCUCCCUCUCUUCAAAGAGUUCCAUAUAACUCCAGUGCAGUAGGCCAGAAGAGAUGGACCUUUCUUUCUCGUGAGCAGCCAAACACAACAAAAUGCAUGCUACCAGAAGCAAAUUAAGUAAUUUUGUCAAAAAAUAUGUGGGCCUAUAUAUAUGUAAAAUACACACAUGCAACUGCAUAAAAAACAAAAAUUAGUGUCUGUGCAGAAGCUGCAGACAGCUGGAAAACAUGCAUGAGUUACUUUCCAUUAGCUUUCCUCUCACUACUGGGAUUCAUCCCCAGCAGCUUGCUUAUUCCCUCCUGCUCUGAGUCAUUUAGUCCCUCUUCUUCCCAUCACAGGAAAAUAUUUGAAAAAAUGUCUUCACAGUAUCUAUGCUAUGUUCCAUAGCUCUGAAACAAGAUCUUGGCAGCAUUUCAGACGAAGAAAGUUACACACUAUUUAUGUAGAUGUAGGGUGCUGUAGCAGCUUUCUAGGAUUUUUUUUUUUGUCAUUGCUUGGUUGAUUUUGUUUCUGUUUCUGUUUUUGUUCUUUGCAUUCUCUCCUACCCCAUUGUGCAGGCUGCUCUGAGGUCUUGGAUCUGAUGUUCAGUGCUAUGCCAUGUUCUGCUUUGAGGGGAACCCAGGGGAGUUCACUGGGGAGGAAGAAACUCUGGAUUUCUGGUCUACUCACAGCUAAGAAACAGGACUACAAAUACAUUUUUCCACAGACUUUGAGCUUUUAACCUCUUGCUAUUUUGCAUGAUCAAAAUAUGAAAGAAUGAAUAAUUUAUCAUUUAACCAUUGUUAUUAACAUAUUCCCAGAACUGCAGUACUACUGUGCUCAUUGUUCCACCUUCUAAUCGAUUGUUGUUUACACUGUGGGUGAGGAACAAAAUUGUCCUGGGUUUCUCCCUGGUGUUCUAAUGUCCCAAUCAUUUGGUUAGGGAAUUUGGCCACAGAAUAAUGCUGCUGCACAGUAUAACAGUUAAAUUUGUGGAGCCACACUUCCUUCCUCUGAAAGCCAAGGUGUGAGGAGGGAGACAAGGGGGGACUACUGUGUCUGGCAUCCUUGUACAAGCUGAAUUUGGCUAUGACACAGGCUGUCUCCACCUUAGGAACGCUCUGGAGUCCACCAGUUCAGAAAUAGCCAGAAUAAGUCAGUCCAGCAGACAGGGCAGAGAAAAGCUGUAUGACAACUCCUAUCUUGCCAGUCAGAAAAUGGAAAAAAUAAAAACCUCCAAAAGAUCUAUUUCAUUUUGCCUGAAGUCACAAAGCUCUUGAAUCCUGAGCUCCAGUCCAGGACUUCAAGACUUUUGCUGGCAAUUCAUUCAUUUUAAUUAUGAAUUUCCUUGGUUCUUUGAUACAUUCUUGUUACAUUUAGUCAUCAAAAGACUCCUUAUCUUGUAGCAAUAAUGUUGUUCAGCUAGGUAGGAGAAUCUUCUGUUUGUAUUUUGGUGUCUUACAAAGGAGACGUGCUUAAGAAAUAAAUAUUAUCUUCUAUUUUGUAGGGAUAACAGUAUAUAUUAUUAGAGGCUUCAAUAUGAAAUAAAUGUGAUUAACAAAAAGAAACAAUCUAUGCAUCAAACACUGAAUAUUUUGCAUAAGCAGAACUACAAUUGUUAAACAGAAAGCUUUGUGUGUGGCUUUUCUUCAAAACUGGUUUAUAAUUGCUGGCAUUAUGUCUUGUUGAUUACUGAAUGUAGCAGAAAAGUGUGAUGGUGCUUGUCAGCCACUUUUUCUACACAGUGAUAUUCUUUUUAGAAAUGAUACAACCUUGUAGCCUACUGAGAAAUAAAUUAAAAACACCGAGAUGUAUUCCCUGAAUUGAAUUACUGGUGAAAGUUACAGUUGCUCAAAAUAUUGCUUAUUUUCCUUUUACAAAAAAAGGAAAGGACUAAGAAUG